RNAcentral lists this ribosomal RNA (864 nucleotides) under uncultured Bacteroidota bacterium. Its description in RNAcentral is "bacterial SSU rRNA". It matches the Rfam family "Bacterial small subunit ribosomal RNA", at positions 1 to 864 of the family's 1533-position model. The record is from RNAcentral. Lineage: Bacteria; Pseudomonadati; Bacteroidota.
UGGAUCCAGACUUUGAUUAUGGCUCAGGAUGAACGCUAGCUACAGGCCUAACACAUGCAAGUCGAGGGGCUUCAUGGGGGUCGCUUGCGACCCCUGAUGGCGACCGGCGAAUGGGUGAGUAACGCGUAUCCAACCUGCCCCGCGCCCGGGGAUAGCCCUUGGAAAUGAGGAUUAAGACCCGAUAUGUGGCGACGCCGCAUGGCGGCUCCAUGAAACAGACGCGGGAUGGGGAUGCGUUGGAUUAGCCAGCCGGCAGGGCAGCGGCCUACCGGGGCGACGAUCCAUAGGGGUUCUGAGAGGAAGGUCCCCCACACUGGCACUGAGACACGGGCCAGACUCCUACGGGAGGCAGCAGUGAGGAAUAUUGGUCAAUGGGCGAGAGCCUGAACCAGCCAAGUAGCGUGCAGGAUGACGGCCCUACGGGUUGUAAACUGCUUUUGCGGGAGAAUAACCGGCGCCACGCGUGGCGCCCUGCAGGUAUCCCGUGAAUAAGGACCGGCUAAUUCCGUGCCAGCAGCCGCGGUAAUACGGAAGGUCCGGGCGUUAUCCGGAUUUAUUGGGUUUAAAGGGAGCGCAGGCGGAGGAUCAAGCCAGCCGUGAAAUGGCGGCGCUCAACGCCGUCCGGCGGUUGGAACUGGUCCCCUUGAUUGCGGGAGAGGAAGGCGGAACUCGUGGUGUAGCGGUGAAAUGCAUAGGUAUCACGAAGAACCCCGAUUGCGAAGGCAGCCUUCCGGCCCGUGAAUGACGCUCAUGCUCGAAGGCGCGGGUAUCAAACAGGAUUAGAUACCCUGGUAGUCCGCGCGGUAAACGAUGAAUGCUCGGGAUUCGGGCUUUAUGUCUGAGUCCCCCAGCGAAAGCGUUAAG